This 253-nucleotide ribosomal RNA is filed under the name uncultured bacterium. RNAcentral describes it as "partial 16S ribosomal RNA". It matches the Rfam family "Bacterial small subunit ribosomal RNA", at positions 524 to 776 of the family's 1533-position model. The record is from RNAcentral.
UACAGGGGGCGCGAGCGUUGCUCGGAAUCACUGGGCGUAAAGCGCACGUAGGCGGAUUGCUAAGUCAGGGGUGAAAUCCUGGAGCUCAACUCCAGAACUGCCUUUGAUACUGGCGACCUUGAGUCCGGGAGAGGUGAGUGGAACUGCGAGUGUAGAGGUGAAAUCCGUAGAUAUUCACAAGAACACCAGUGGCGAAGGCGGCUCACUGGCCCGGUACUGACGCUGAGGUGCGAAAGCGUGGGGAGCAAACAGG